RNAcentral lists this ribosomal RNA (434 nucleotides) under uncultured bacterium. RNAcentral's name for it is "partial 16S ribosomal RNA". It matches the Rfam family "Bacterial small subunit ribosomal RNA", at positions 29 to 507 of the family's 1533-position model. The record is from RNAcentral.
AGCGAACGCUGGCGGCAGGCCUAACACAUGCCAGUCGAACGAACCUUUCGGGGUUAGUGGCGGACGGGUGAGUAACACGUGGGAACGUGCCUUUAGGUUCGGAAUAACUCAGGGAAACUUGUGCUAAUACCGAAUGUGCCCUUCGGGGGAAAGAUUUAUCGCCUUUAGAGCGGCCCGCGUCUGAUUAGCUAGUUGGUUGAGGUAAUGGCUCACCAAGGCGACGAUCAGUAGCUGGUUUGAGAGGAUGAUCAGCCACAUUGGGACUGAGACACGGCCCAAACUCCUACGGGAGGCAGCAGUGGGGAAUCUUGCGCAAUGGGCGAAAGCCUGACGCAGCCAUGCCGCGUGAAUGAUGAAGGUCUUAGGAUUGUAAAAUUCUUUCACCGGGGACGAUAAUGACGGUACCCGGAGAAGAAGCCCCGGCUAACUUCGUG